CAGGAGUUCCCGGCAGUGGCAGCCCCGGGGGGCGCGGCGCGGAGCGAGGCCGGCGGCCGCAGAGGGUGACAGGGCCUCCCCGGGGAGGACCCUCAGGUGGACCGGCAGGAGAGAAAAAACUACAAAACAGUGGGUUUUAACUCAUUUUGGGAAAAAUAUGACUUGAAACUGAUGUACAGACACAAGCAUGCAGAGAAGUCUGAGCGAUCAUACCAAAUGCUGGCAGCUGGUGUCUCUGGAUGGAGGACUUACGGGUCAUUCUCUGUGCAAAAGAUAGAGCCUGGAGUGUGCUGAGGCUCCAGGCUCCUGCUUCAGAUGGCAAAACAGAGGCUUGGGAAUCUACCUGGCUCUGCCUCAGCCGGAUCUGAGAAUCUAAAGGCAGCCAGCUAAGAUCAUGAACUCCUAAAGGCAUACAGGAAUUUAGCCUCCAGCCCAACACUAGGGAACACAUGGUAUAUCAUGGCAAGGUCAACAGAAAUAAAGUAAGUGAUAUACAUAU
Ailuropoda melanoleuca (giant panda) is the source of this 499-nucleotide long non-coding RNA. RefSeq lists it as uncharacterized. Lineage: Eukaryota; Metazoa; Chordata; Mammalia; Carnivora; Ursidae. The record is from RefSeq and is a predicted model, not a curated record. The transcript has 3 exons.